UUUUGUUCGGUGUAAGGAGCCGAAAGAAUAAGGGGAGGGCAAGUCUGGUGUCAGCCGCCGCGGUAAUACCAGCUCCCCGAGUGGUUGGGACGGUUAUUGGGUUUAAAGCGUCCGUAGCCUGUUGGAGAAGUUCUCCGUUAAAUCCAACGAUUCAAUCGUUGGGCCGCGGAGAUUACUCUUCAGCUUGGGGGCGGAGGAUGUCGACGGUAGUCCCGGGGUAGGGGCGAAAUCCUAUAAUCCCGGGAGGACCACCAGUGGCGAAGGCGGUCGACAAAUACGCGCCCGACGGUGAGGGACGAAAGCUGGGGGAGCGAACGGGAUUAGAUACCCCGGUAGUCCCAGCUGUAAACAAUGCAGGCUAGGUGUUAGAACGGCUACGGGCCGUUCUAGUGCCGCAGGGAAGCCGUUAAGUCUGCCACCUGGGGAGUACGGUCGCAAGGCUGAAAUCACCAAAGGUAAAGUAUGGGAAAAUUCUAUAUUUCAUGCAGAUGUAACUAUGCUGCAUGUGAUAAAGAUC
RNAcentral lists this ribosomal RNA (517 nucleotides) under uncultured archaeon. Its description in RNAcentral is "bacterial SSU rRNA". It matches the Rfam family "Archaeal small subunit ribosomal RNA", at positions 408 to 1191 of the family's 1478-position model. The record is from RNAcentral.